CUAACAUGAUUCUGCCAACUGUGCAUAUUUUCUGCCCUUUUGAAAAUUCUCCUUUAGCGCAGAGUCACUAGUCAGUCAGUCACACACCUAUAAGGCCGCCGCCGCCACCACCUCCUCCUCCUCAACUUCCUUCCCUUUCUCAUAUCAAUCCUUAACUCCUAGAUUGUCCAAACUCGUGUCCGUACAGUACGAGGUUAGAAGACUUGGGCUGUCCAAUUCAGUUAACAAAAAUGUCCAGUGCUGCUGCUGCUGCAGCUACUUCUACUACAGUUCCUCCUCAUGGAGUAGAGGAAAAAACGGUGCAAGAAGAACUCUCUCUUCCGAUUUUACUGGCAGAUCGUGUCAUAAAAUCAACCCAAGAAGCUGAAUCUUCAAAGCAAGACUGUUCUGACUUAGCAAAACAAGUUGACCACCUUUCCCAAAUGCUCCGCUCUGCCGUCCGCCUUGCCAUCUCCACUCCUUCCCUCUAUGAUCGUCCUCUCCGCCGUAUCGCUUCCGACAUCACCAAAACCUUGACCGUGCACUAACUCUUGUCCGCAAAUGCAAGAAACAUAGUGAGUAAUGAUCCUAUUUUUGCUUGGGUCUGGUCUUCUAUUUCUUCUGUUCAAAUGGGUCAAGUUAAGGAUCGUGUUGAUGCCGCCAAUCAACUUGCUUCGUUAGCGCGUGAUAAUGAUAGGAAUAAGAAGAUGAUUGUUGAAGAAGGUGAGAUUUUUCCUUUGUUGAAGUUGCUUAAGGAAGGUGCUUCUGCAGAGGCACGAAUUGCUGCUGCCACUGCACUUUUUAAUAUUGCUAAUGAUAAACAUAGAGUCAGGUUGACUAUUGACGCGCUUGGGACUUCGAUGAUUUGUUGGGGUUUUAGAGGAUUCACCAAUGAAGGUUCAGUUUUCGGUGGCCAAUUUUGUGGCGAGAAUGGCAGAUUUGGACGAUAAUGCACAGGAGGAGUUUAUGAGAUUGAAUGUGACAAGACCAUUGAUGUCUUUGUUGUCUACUCAUUUGGAUUUGGAAGUAGUGAAUGACAAUCCUGUUAAAACUAGUAUUCCCUCACUUGUCGAAAUGAACAAACAAUUAGCUUAUAAGAAUAUUAAGGCUAAUUAUAAUUCGGACAGUAGUAGCCAUGGUGGUUCACAUAAUAAGAAGGAGAGGGAAAUGGAGACACCAGAGGUGCAGCUUCAGGUUAAGGUUAAGGUUAGUUGUGCUGAGGCAUGAUGGAAACUGUCAAAAGAGAGUUUGUCUAAUAGUAGAAAGAUUACGGAGAUGAAAGGUUUGCUUUGUUUGGCAAAGAUUGUUGAGAGGGAAAAGGGGGAUGCAGUUUAAUUGUCUGAUGACCAUUACAGAGAUCACGGCGGUGGCAGAGUCCAAUGCUGAUCUUAGACAUGCAGCUUUUAAGCCUAAUUAGCCUGGUGCAAAGGUGGUUUUGGAUCAGCUUUUAAGAGUGAUUCAAGAAGAAAGUAAUCCAAAGUUGCAGAUUCCUGCUAUUAGGUCUAUUGGUUGCUUGGCUCGAACAUUUCCUACAAGGGAGACUAGAAUAAUGAGGCCUUUGGUUUCUCAUCUUGGUAAUAGGAAUGCGGAUAUCGCUACAGAAGCUGCAAUGGCCUUGGGGAAGUUCGCAUGUCCAGAAAAUUUCAAUUGUUCAGAGCAUUCAAAAGCAAUUAUAGAAUUGGAUGGGUUCCCCCUUUAAUGAAAUUACUACGGUCUGGAGAUCAGCUCAACUACGGGGACUUGUAUUAUUAUGCUACCUUGCAUUGAAUGCUGGGAACAGUAAGGCUCUUGAGCAAGCACGCGCUUUGAAUGCUCUUGAGGGGACUGCUCGAUCUGUUUUAGCUCAACAUCCUGAUUUGAAGGAUUUGAUUGCCAAGGCCAUACACCUCCUCAUUCUUUAUCAUGCUGGAGCUACUCUCAAUAGACAGUCUCUGGCAUCAUGAUUACCACCGUUGCCAAAACAACUCAUCCUUGUGAGUGUUGUAAUAUACAUUAGACUAGAUUCUUAUAGUCAUUUGAUGAAAACUAAGUUGAUUAGGACAUGAUUGUUGAGUUAGAUUCAGUGCAUGCUUGAGAAAUGUAUCAGAUUUCAGUUCCACCUAAUUGAACUAGGUUUUCUAGCUUUACUGUUAA
This is a long non-coding RNA of Populus nigra (black poplar), 2112 nucleotides long. RefSeq lists it as uncharacterized. The record is from RefSeq and is a predicted model, not a curated record. The transcript is spliced from 2 exons. NCBI's taxonomy places the organism in Eukaryota, Viridiplantae, Streptophyta, Magnoliopsida, Malpighiales, Salicaceae.